RNAcentral lists this ribosomal RNA (449 nucleotides) under uncultured bacterium. RNAcentral describes it as "partial 16S ribosomal RNA". It matches the Rfam family "Bacterial small subunit ribosomal RNA", at positions 29 to 523 of the family's 1533-position model. The record is from RNAcentral.
AACGAACGCUGGCGGCAUGCCUAACACAUGCAAGUCGAACGAGACCUUCGGGUCUAGUGGCGCACGGGUGCGUAACGCGUGGGAAUCUGCCCUUUGCUUCGGAAUAACACAGAGAAAUUUGUGCUAAUACCGGAUAAUGUCGUAAGACCAAAGAUUUAUCGGCAAAGGAUGAGCCCGCGUAAGAUUAGCUAGUUGGUGGGGUAAUGGCCUACCAAGGCGACGAUCUUUAGCUGGUCUGAGAGGAUGAUCAGCCACACUGGGACUGAGACACGGCCCAGACUCCUACGGGAGGCAGCAGUAGGGAAUAUUGGACAAUGGGGGCAACCCUGAUCCAGCAAUGCCGCGUGAGUGAUGAAGGCCUUAGGGUUGUAAAGCUCUUUUACCCGGGAUGAUAAUGACAGUACCGGGAGAAUAAGCCCCGGCUAACUCCGUGCCAGCAGCCGCGGUAA